AGCUCAAAGAGUCAAUACCCUACCACCGGGGUUCAAUCCUAUGACCUUCCCUCAAGAGGAGCCACAAAGGGACAACCCACUGAGUA
This is a long non-coding RNA of Ipomoea nil (Japanese morning glory), 86 nucleotides long. RefSeq lists it as uncharacterized. The record is from RefSeq and is a predicted model, not a curated record. The transcript has 3 exons. Lineage: Eukaryota; Viridiplantae; Streptophyta; Magnoliopsida; Solanales; Convolvulaceae.